This 279-nucleotide ribosomal RNA is filed under the name uncultured Synergistaceae bacterium. Its description in RNAcentral is "partial 16S ribosomal RNA". It matches the Rfam family "Bacterial small subunit ribosomal RNA", at positions 1107 to 1382 of the family's 1533-position model. Lineage: Bacteria; Thermotogati; Synergistota; Synergistia; Synergistales; Synergistaceae. The record is from RNAcentral.
GCUACCAGUUGCCAACGGGUAGAGCCGGGCACUCUGGCGGGACUGCCAGUCGACAAGAUGGAGGAAGGUGGGGAGUGACGUCAAGUCAUCAUGGCCCUUAUGUCCAGGGCGACACACGUGCUACAAUGGCCGGCACAGCGGGAAGCGAGGCAGUGAUGCCAAGCGGAUCCCUUAAAGCCGGUCUCAGUUCGGAUUGAAGUCUGCAACUCGACUUCAUGAAGCUGGAAUCGCUAGUAAUCGCAGAUCAGCCAAGCUGCGGUGAAUACGUUCCCGGGCCUU